Molecule: ribosomal RNA, 584 nt
Filed under: uncultured bacterium
Lineage: Bacteria
Description: bacterial SSU rRNA
Rfam family: Bacterial small subunit ribosomal RNA
Source: RNAcentral
CCUACGGGAGGCAGCAGUGGGGAAUUUUGGACAAUGGGGGAAACCCUGAUCCAGCGACGCCGCGUGGAGGAUUGAAGGUCUUCGGAUCGUAAACUCCUUUUAGAUGGGACGAAUGUACGGUAUGUAACUAUAUCGUAUUGACUGUACCAUCAGAAUAAGCCACGGCUAACUCUGUGCCAGCAGCCGCGGUAAGACAGAGGUGGCAAGCGUUGUUCGGAAUUACUGGGCUUAAAGGGCGCGUAGGCGGUGGAGUAAGUCUGAGGUGGAAGAUUAGGGCCUAACCCUAAAAUUGCCUUGGAAACUGCAUCACUUGAGUCAGCGAGGGGAUGGCGGAAUUCCAGGUGUAGCGGUGAAAUGCGUAGAUAUCUGGAGGAAGGCCGGUGGCGAAGGCGGCCAUCUGGCGCUGAACUGACGCUGAGGCGCGAAAGCGUGGGGAGCAAACAGGAUUAGAUACCCUGGUAGUCCACGCCCUAAACGGUGGGUACUAGGUGUAGGGCUCGCAAGGGUUCUGUGCCGUAGGGAAACCAUUAAGUACCCCGCCUGGGGAGUACGGCCGCAAGGUUGAAACUUAAAGGAAUUGACGG